AUUGAACGCUGGCGGCAGGCCUAACACAUGCAAGUCGAACGGUAACAGGAAGCAGCUUGCUGCUUUGCUGACGAGUGGCGGACGGGUGAGUAAUGUCUGGGAAACUGCCUGAUGGAGGGGGAUAACUACUGGAAACGGUAGCUAAUACCGCAUAACGUCGCAAGACCAAAGAGGGGGACCUUCGGGCCUCUUGCCAUCGGAUGUGCCCAGAUGGGAUUAGCUAGUAGGUGGGGUAACGGCUCACCUAGGCGACGAUCCCUAGCUGGUCUGAGAGGAUGACCAGACACACUGGAACUGAGACACGGUCCAGACUCCUACGGGAGGCAGCAGUGGGGAAUAUUGCACAAUGGGCGCAAGCCUGAUGCAGCCAUGCCGCGUGUAUGAAGAAGGCCUUCGGGUUGUAAAGUACUUUCAGCGGGGAGGAAGGGAGUAAAGUUAAUACCUUUGCUCAUUGACGUUACCCGCAGAAGAAGCACCGGCUAACUCCGUG
RNAcentral lists this ribosomal RNA (490 nucleotides) under uncultured bacterium. RNAcentral describes it as "partial 16S ribosomal RNA". It matches the Rfam family "Bacterial small subunit ribosomal RNA", at positions 30 to 507 of the family's 1533-position model. The record is from RNAcentral.